UACGUAGGGUGCAAGCGUUGUCCGGAAUUAUUGGGCGUAAAGAGCUCGUAGGCGGUUUGUCGCGUCUGCUGUGAAAACUGGGGGCUCAACCCCCAGCCUGCAGUGGGUACGGGCAGACUAGAGUGCGGUAGGGGAGAUUGGAAUUCCUGGUGUAGCGGUGGAAUGCGCAGAUAUCAGGAGGAACACCAAUGGCGAAGGCAGAUCUCUGGGCCGUAACUGACGCUGAGGAGCGAAAGCAUGGGGAGCGAACAGG
This 253-nucleotide ribosomal RNA is filed under the name uncultured bacterium. RNAcentral describes it as "partial 16S ribosomal RNA". It matches the Rfam family "Bacterial small subunit ribosomal RNA", at positions 524 to 776 of the family's 1533-position model. The record is from RNAcentral.